GAUCAAACAAUAGACGUUAGAGUUUGCGAAUAACUACUGAAUCGGAAUACUAGUCAAUUCUAGGAUCCAUAUUCACUGCGACGUAAGCUC
Molecule: non-coding RNA, 90 nt
Organism: Lactobacillus hominis
Lineage: Bacteria; Bacillati; Bacillota; Bacilli; Lactobacillales; Lactobacillaceae
Source: Rfam